This 74-nucleotide transfer RNA is filed under the name Gemmatimonadaceae bacterium. RNAcentral describes it as "tRNA-Arg". It matches the Rfam family "tRNA". From Rfam's summary of the family: Transfer RNA (tRNA) molecules are approximately 80 nucleotides in length. Their secondary structure includes four short double-helical elements and three loops (D, anti-codon, and T loops). Lineage: Bacteria; Pseudomonadati; Gemmatimonadota; Gemmatimonadia; Gemmatimonadales; Gemmatimonadaceae. The record is from RNAcentral.
GCCCCCGUAGCUCAGUUGGAUAGAGCAAGCGUUUCCUAAACGCUAGGUCGGAGGUUCGAUUCCUCUCGGGGGCA